GGAGGCUGGUGGUGGACGGGCGCUCCGCCAAUCCGGUCAGGUCCGGAAGGAAGCAGCCGUAACGGAUUUCGCCCGGGUCAUCCGCCGGUCUCUCAC
This 96-nucleotide signal recognition particle RNA is filed under the name Alphaproteobacteria bacterium. RNAcentral describes it as "signal recognition particle sRNA small type". It matches the Rfam family "Bacterial small signal recognition particle RNA". From Rfam's summary of the family: The signal recognition particle (SRP) is a universally conserved ribonucleoprotein involved in the co-translational targeting of proteins to membranes. Archaeal SRP consists of a 7S RNA and homologues of the eukaryotic SRP19 and SRP54 proteins. RNAcentral also lists the same sequence under 1 other name. The record is from RNAcentral. Lineage: Bacteria; Pseudomonadati; Pseudomonadota; Alphaproteobacteria.